GAUGAACGCUGGCGGCGUGCCUAAUACAUGCAAGUCGAGCGAACGGACGAGAAGCUUGCUUCUCUGAUGUUAGCGGCGGACGGGUGAGUAACACGUGGAUAACCUACCUAUAAGACUGGGAUAACUUCGGGAAACCGUAGCUAAUACCGGAUAAUAUUUUGAACCGCAUGGUUCAAAAGUGAAAGACGGUCUUGCUGUCACUUAUAGAUGGAUCCGCGCUGCAUUAGCUAGUUGGUAAGGUAACGGCUUACCAAGGCAACGAUGCAUAGCCGACCUGAGAGGGUGAUCGGCCACACUGGAACUGAGACACGGUCCAGACUCCUACGGGAGGCAGCAGUAGGGAAUCUUCCGCAAUGGGCGAAAGCCUGACUGAGCAACGCCGCGUGAGUGAUGAAGGUCUUCGGAUCGUAAAACUCUGUUAUUAGGGAAGAACAUAUGUGUAAGUAACUGUGCACAUCUUGACGGUACCUAAUCAGAAAGCCACGGCUAACUACGUG
RNAcentral lists this ribosomal RNA (497 nucleotides) under uncultured bacterium. RNAcentral describes it as "partial 16S ribosomal RNA". It matches the Rfam family "Bacterial small subunit ribosomal RNA", at positions 28 to 507 of the family's 1533-position model. The record is from RNAcentral.